AGGUAGAGAAAGACCAUUAGGUUGGGGCAGGGUUAGGUGUGUCUGAGCUCAGAUCCUCCUUGGGCAGGGCUUGCUGUGGCUGCUGUGGUGGAUGGAGUGUGGUUUCUAGGCCAAUGGAAUGAUGUUCCCAAGGUGAUUAUGGCUGCCUCUGCUGCAUCACACAGGUUGCCAGGGAAGCGGGGGAAAGCCAGCAGCCACAUGCCUCAUCCAGCUCCCACGCAGCCCGCCGCAGCCUGAAAGGCUGGUCUCACUCCCACUCUGUCCCCCAACCAGCACUGUAUUUCCAGGAAGCCAAUGGGAACUUGCCCCAGGCCACAAACCUCUCAGCUGAGAAAGCAAGCAGACUAUGGAUUCUCUCAGCCCUCCUGGAGAAAUGAUCUACCAUGACUGUCAAACCAAAGCACACUGGUUCAUCCUGAAGAGCAGACAGAAAGACUGGUGUUGUGUAAAAACAAAGUUGAUGUGGAGUCAGAGUUUGGUUUUCCCAUCUCCCAAAGGCUCCCAAUGGGCAGCUGUCAUAGACCCAUGGAGUGGACUCAUGCAGCCAAGAGUCACUAGCAGCCAUCCUUCCCCUUCACCGUCCUGAGACCCGGCUUUAUCCAGACAGCCCCACCUCCUUAACCCAAUGUGAGCUAGAGCCAGGUCCCAAGCCCCAGCCCCAGGAGGGUAGAUCUGUUUAGUCUAAGUCUACCACGGUGGUCCCAUUCUCCUGAGUUAUCCCAAUUCCCCUCAAUGAAAACUGAAGGGAACUGGGCUGCUGUGCUUCAGGGAAGUUUCACUGCUCUUAAAAGAGCCACGCUGGGGAACAGAGGCUCUCUGCUUCAACUGUUUGUUGUCAUUCUGACCACUGCAGCAGUCAAGUAAAGAUCUUGAAGGAAGCAACACUGAAGACAAAGUGAACAUAAUGAGGCUGGCAGAGCAGAAAGUGGGAAGAAAUCCAAGUCCUGGAUAUCAAUUAAUUGUAUUUAUCAGCCCUGGAACUGCCCAACCUUGGGACUUCUGUGAGGUGAUAUAAGUCUCUCCCAUUGUUUAAGUCCGUGAUCUCCAAAGUGAACAAGGUGAUCCACUGAGGUACAGGAAGAAAACGUAAGUUUUUAAGAGUAAAGAAGCCUUACCAAUACAUAACAGACACACAGGCUGCAUGGUAGUGGCCAGGCAGCACAUGCCAGUCAGUGAGGAAUCCUCAAAGAAGUGCUGAGAGCUCCUUAUCGCAGAGGGAGCAACAGGGACACCACUCUCUUCCAGAAUAUUGUUGUCUGUGUGCACCAUCAGUCAACUGGACGUAGAUUUUUAUUAUCUUACACAACAGCAUCUUGACAACAGUUUAUAAUGAGAUGAGGAAAUUAAACCCCUAAAUUUGCUGGUUAUCUCAUAGCAAAAUUCUUAAAUAUGGUAUAUAUUUUUUAAUUGAUAAAAAGGCUUGAAUGUGCUAAUCUUUCCUGUGGUGACAAGUGUCUGUAAGCAAUAUGCAAUCUAGAAGGUAUUUUUUUAAAUGGACAGAUUUAACCUGACCCUUCUAGGUAAAGAUAACAUAAUACUAAUGAUGACCAAGCAAGAAUUCAUGAAAAUGUGUUGCCAAAAAUUGUCACCUAUAAAAACUCUUCAAAGUGUGCACUUAAACUUGGGAAAUGAAAUUCAAAAAUAAGUUGCAGCAGGUUUUGAACCCAUUUUUAGCAAAAAUAAAAAUGCAGCGCUCCUAAUUAUUCAGCAUAAACAAGUUACUGACAUUGGAAAAGAUGAAAACUUAUUAUAAAAAUUUCAACAAACACUUUUGCAAAAUUGGUGGAUGGAACUCAAAAAUAUUUUCAGUAAGCACAGCCAUAUUUGGAUCCACAAAUCUAAAUUAAUGAAGUGACUUAUUCAGCUACAAUAGUCAUUAAAACCAAGCAUCAAAAUAAACUUACCUUAAGAACA
Non-coding RNA from Macaca mulatta (Rhesus monkey), 1914 nucleotides. Lineage: Eukaryota; Metazoa; Chordata; Mammalia; Primates; Cercopithecidae. The record is from RefSeq and is a predicted model, not a curated record.